GACGAACGCUGGCGGCGUGCUUAACACAUGCAAGUCGAACGGAAAGGCCCUGCUUUUGUGGGGUGCUCGAGUGGCGAACGGGUGAGUAACACGUGAGUAACCUGCCCUUGACUUUGGGAUAACUUCAGGAAACUGGGGCUAAUACCGGAUAGCAUCUCCUGCUGCAUGGUGGGGGUGGGAAAGUUGCGGCGGUCGGGGAUGGACGCGCGGCUUAUCAGCUUGUUGGUGGGGGAGUGGCUUACCAAGGCUUUGACGGGUAGCCGGCCUGAGAGGGUGACCGGCCACCAUGGGCCUAAGGGAGGGAGCAGAGGCGUAUGGGAGGCAGCAGGGGGGAGUCUUGCACAAUGGGACCGAGUCGGAGGAAGAAACGUCCGGUUCGUGAAGACGGCCUGCGGGUUGUAAACAGCUUUCGCCUAAGACGAAGCGUUAGUGACGGUACUGAGUAAAGAAGCACCGGCUAACUACGUG
RNAcentral lists this ribosomal RNA (468 nucleotides) under uncultured bacterium. Its description in RNAcentral is "partial 16S ribosomal RNA". It matches the Rfam family "Bacterial small subunit ribosomal RNA", at positions 28 to 507 of the family's 1533-position model. The record is from RNAcentral.